CCUACGGGAGGCAGCAGUAGGGAAUCUUGCGCAAUGGGCGAAAGCCUGACGCAGCCAUGCCGCGUGAAUGAUGAAGGUCUUAGGAUUGUAAAAUUCUUUCACCGGGGACGAUAAUGACGGUACCCGGAGAAGAAGCCCCGGCUAACUUCGUGCCAGCAGCCGCGGUAAUACGAAGGGGGCUAGCGUUGCUCGGAAUUACUGGGCGUAAAGGGAGCGUAGGCGGAUAGUUUAGUCAGAGGUGAAAGCCCAGGGCUCAACCUUGGAACUGCCUUUGAUACUGGCUAUCUUGAGUAUGGGAGAGGUGAGUGGAACUCCGAGUGUAGAGGUGAAAUUCGUAGAUAUUCGGAAGAACACCAGUGACGAAGGCGACUCACUGGCCCAUUACUGACGCUGAGGCUCGAAAGCGUGGGGAGCAAACAGGAUUAGAUACCCUGGUAGUCCACGCCGUAAACGAUGAGUGCUAGUUGUCGGCAUGCAUGCAUGUCGGUGACGCAGCUAACGCAUUAAGCACUCCGCCUGGGGAGUACGGUCGCAAGNUUAAAACUCAAAGGAAUUGACGG
Molecule: ribosomal RNA, 560 nt
Filed under: uncultured bacterium
Lineage: Bacteria
Description: bacterial SSU rRNA
Rfam family: Bacterial small subunit ribosomal RNA
Source: RNAcentral